RNAcentral lists this ribosomal RNA (468 nucleotides) under uncultured bacterium. RNAcentral's name for it is "partial 16S ribosomal RNA". It matches the Rfam family "Bacterial small subunit ribosomal RNA", at positions 28 to 507 of the family's 1533-position model. The record is from RNAcentral.
GACGAACGCUGGCGGCGUGCUUAACACAUGCAAGUCGAACGGAAAGGCCCUGCUUUUGUGGGGGGCUCGAGUGGCGAACGGGUGAGUAACACGUGAGUAACCUGCCCUUGACCUUGGGAUAACUUCAGGAAACUGGGGCUAAUACCGGAUAGGAGCUCCUGCUGCAUGGUGGGGGUUGGAAAGUUUCGGCGGUUGGGGAUGGACUCGCGGCUUAUCAGCUUGUUGGUGGGGUAGUGGCUUACCAAGGCUUUGACGGGUAGCCGGCCUGAGAGGGUGACCGGCCACAUUGGGACUGAGAUACGGCCCAGACUCCUACGGGAGGCAGCGGUGGGGAGUAUUGCACAAUGGGCGGAAGCCUGAUGCGACGACGCCGCGUGCGGGAUGACGGCAUUCGGGUUGUAAACCGCUGUCGCAUGUGACGAAGCGUGAGUGACGGUACUGGGUAAAGAAGCACCGGCUAACUACGUG